GUGCCAGCCGCCGCGGUAAAACGUAGGAGGCGAGCGUUAUCCGGAUUUACUGGGCGUAAAGCGCACGCAGGUGGUGACGUGAGUCGGACGUGAAAGCUCCCGGCUUAACUGGGCGAGGUCGUUCGAUACUGCGUCACUUGAGGUUGGGAGAGGGGUGCGGAAUUCCCGGUGUAGUGGUGGAAUGCGUAGAGAUCGGGAGGAACACCAGUGGCGAAGGCGGCACCCUGGCCCACACCUGACGCUGAGGUGCGAAAGCGUGGGUAGCAAACAGGAUUAGAAACCCGCGUAGUCC
Molecule: ribosomal RNA, 292 nt
Filed under: uncultured bacterium
Lineage: Bacteria
Description: partial 16S ribosomal RNA
Rfam family: Bacterial small subunit ribosomal RNA
Source: RNAcentral